Molecule: transfer RNA, 72 nt
Filed under: Ailuropoda melanoleuca (giant panda)
Lineage: Eukaryota; Metazoa; Chordata; Mammalia; Carnivora; Ursidae
Rfam family: tRNA
About the family: Transfer RNA (tRNA) molecules are approximately 80 nucleotides in length. Their secondary structure includes four short double-helical elements and three loops (D, anti-codon, and T loops). Further hydrogen bonds mediate the characteristic L-shaped molecular structure. tRNAs have two regions of fundamental functional importance: the anti-codon, which is responsible for specific mRNA codon recognition, and the 3' end, to which the tRNAs corresponding amino acid is attached (by aminoacyl-tRNA synthetases). tRNAs cope with the degeneracy of the genetic code in two manners: having more than one tRNA (with a specific anti-codon) for a particular amino acid; and 'wobble' base-pairing, i.e. permitting non-standard base-pairing at the 3rd anti-codon position.
Source: Rfam by way of RNAcentral
GCUUGGCUGGCCAGUCAGUAAAGCAUGAGACUCUUGAUCUUGGGGCUGUGAGUUCAAGCCCCACGCUGGGCC